UGCAGAAUCCCGUGAACCAUCGAGUCUUUGAACGCAAGUUGCGCCUGAAGCCGUUAGGCUGAGGGCACGUUUGCCUGGGCGUCGUAUUUUGUGUUGCCCCCACAUCCAACCCUACUUGUAGUAAGUAUAUUCAUGUACCGUUGGUCCGUUGGGGUGCAGAAAUUGGUCUCCCGUAUCGAGUCUACGGUUGGCCCAAAUGGGUGCCUUCGGCGACGGGUGCACGACAAUUGGUGGUCGAGAAGGCCCUCAAGUAUUUGUUGUGGAUUUUCGGUUGCCGGGGCAGUAAUGACCCGCGAGCGUCGUCCCACGACGAUGCAGUGCUCAUAGAUGCCGACCCCAGGUCAGGCGGGAUUCACCCGCUGAGUUUAAGCAUAUCAAUAAGCGGAGGAAAAGAAACUAACAAGGAUUCCCUUAGUAACGGCGAGCGAACCGGGAAUAGCUCAGCUUUAAAAUCAGGUGGCUUUGUCGUCUGA
This 473-nucleotide ribosomal RNA is filed under the name Nymphoides peltata. RNAcentral describes it as "eukaryotic LSU rRNA". The stretch from base 332 to 473 matches the Rfam family "Eukaryotic large subunit ribosomal RNA", at positions 1 to 141 of the family's 3401-position model. The record is from RNAcentral. Lineage: Eukaryota; Viridiplantae; Streptophyta; Magnoliopsida; Asterales; Menyanthaceae.